Long non-coding RNA from Helianthus annuus (common sunflower), 906 nucleotides. RefSeq lists it as uncharacterized. The record is from RefSeq and is a predicted model, not a curated record. The transcript is spliced from 3 exons. Lineage: Eukaryota; Viridiplantae; Streptophyta; Magnoliopsida; Asterales; Asteraceae.
CCACUUCAAUUUGCUUCCUUUUUCCUCAUUAUCUACACUAACGCAGAUGAUAGAGCGAGAAACUGAAGCGUCCAAAGGAAACCAGCGGCUUCUCCGACGGUGGCGAUAGCGGCGAGGUCUGAACUCCGACGGUCAUGCGUCUAAACGAAACCAUCGGCUUCUCCGACGGUGGCGAUAGCGGCGAGGCCUGAACUCCGACGGUGGCGACAGCGGCGAGGAGAAUUGCUACCAACGGCAGCAACGUAGGUGGAAAAAAAAAGAAGAAAAUCCGUGGCACAAUCGUCUGGUUUAUCGAAGAAGUACCAAAGAGAUAGAAGAAGCCUACCUCCUAAUUUGUAUAACAGGUGAUUGAUGCCCGAUUAAGUUUAUUUUUAUGUUUUUUGUUUCAUAUUAUUUACCUAGAAGUUAAUAGAAUGUUUUUAGUUGAAGAAUAUCGCAGCCGUCCAUGUAUAGUGACAUGGUUUAGGGAUAUGGAUAUCUAAAUUCUAAUGAACCUCUGUUAAUAAGGAUGGUUUGGUUGAGAACUAUAGGGGGCAGAGGAGAUGAUGUUAAUCCGAACAUCACAGUGUUUAAUGGAGCCUAUUUUUGUACAAAUUUUUAGGCCUUUGAUUUGUCAACUUUUGAAAGAUAAAAUUUAGCCACAGUCUUCGUAGCUGGCUUCGCCUUCACAACCGGCUUUCGCAGACGGUUUAGCUUUCACAGCUGGGUUCACUUUCGCAAACAGCUUUGCUUUACCAAUGACACGUUUAGUUCAGAUGUUAGGACUGAUCUUGUGUAAGUAUGGCCAGGAAUGUUAGCUAAAAUAGCAUCUGAUUUGGAUCAAAUCGAUACAGGUAAGAAAAUAAGAAAAGCCACUGUAAAACAAAAUUCCACAAUACUUGGUAUAUAUUGUAAUUUGUUUCUAUC